RNAcentral lists this ribosomal RNA (253 nucleotides) under uncultured bacterium. RNAcentral describes it as "partial 16S ribosomal RNA". It matches the Rfam family "Bacterial small subunit ribosomal RNA", at positions 524 to 776 of the family's 1533-position model. The record is from RNAcentral.
UACGUAGGGUGUAAGCGUUGUCCGGAAUUAUUGGGCGUAAAGAGCUCGUAGGCGGUCUGUCACGUCGGCUGUGAAAACCCGAGGCUCAACCUCGGGCCUGCAGUCGAUACGGGCAAACUAGAGUACUGCAGGGGAGACUGGAAUUCCUGGUGUAGCGGUGAAAUGCGCAGAUAUCAGGAGGAACACCGAUGGCGAAGGCGGGUCUCUGGGCCGAUACUGACGCUGAGGAGCGAAAGCGUGGGGAGCAAACAGG